This 420-nucleotide ribosomal RNA is filed under the name uncultured bacterium. Its description in RNAcentral is "bacterial SSU rRNA". It matches the Rfam family "Bacterial small subunit ribosomal RNA", at positions 355 to 776 of the family's 1533-position model. The record is from RNAcentral.
UGGGGGAUAUUGCACAAUGGGGGGAACCCUGAUGCAGCAACGCCGCGUGAGUGAAGAAGUACCUCGGUACGUAAAGCUCUAUCAGCAGGGAAGAAGAGAAGCCCUUUGGGCUUGGACGGUACCUGACUAAGAAGCCCCGGCUAACUACGUGCCAGCAGCCGCGGUAAUACGUAGGGGGCAAGCGUUAUCCGGAUUUACUGGGUGUAAAGGGAGCGUAGACGGCAAUGCAAGUCUGGAGUGAAAUCCCGGGGCUUAACCCAGGGGCUGCUCUGGAAACUGUAAGGCUGGAGUGCAGGAGAGGUAAGUGGAAUUCCUAGUGUAGCGGUGAAAUGCGUAGAUAUUAGGAGGAACACCGGUGGCGAAGGCGGCUUACUGGACUGUAACUGACGUUGAGGCUCGAAAGCGUGGGGAGCAAACAGG